Molecule: transfer RNA, 74 nt
Filed under: Zygosaccharomyces parabailii
Lineage: Eukaryota; Fungi; Ascomycota; Saccharomycetes; Saccharomycetales; Saccharomycetaceae
Description: tRNA-Pro
Rfam family: tRNA
About the family: Transfer RNA (tRNA) molecules are approximately 80 nucleotides in length.
Source: RNAcentral
GGGCGUGUGGUCUAGUGGUAUGAUUCUCGCUUUGGGCGUGCGAGAGGCCCUGGGUUCAAUUCCCAGUAUGCCCC